UAUCAGCCCACUGCCUCCAAGUUUCUGUUCUCUUGGCUCAUCUCAUGGGAUGUGAACAUCAUAGAACAUCAUGCUGGCAACAGUUUUAACGUUUAUAGAUAUGCAAUUUCGGUUGCAUCUAUAUAUAAGCCAACAGCUUUAACUGGGUCUCAAUCCAUUUACCAAUGCUAGAAGAAAUCUUGUUUUUGCAUUCAUUGAAGAACCGAUGUCAUUCUCCAGUAUGACAACUGAGUAUUUCAAGUCCCGCUUCUUGAGCUUCUUGGACUCCUUCACCCCUGCGUAAGAUGGGAUUUGAGAUGGAAGACUGGCAUAUGCCAUGUCUUCCUUCUCUCUGCGUGAUACUGAUUUGUAAAUUCACCUGCUUUUAAUCAGUCUGUAAUCUUGGGUGUCAGUGCCUCAGAGCUGCUCCUCCUGCAUGUAUAGACUGCAAAACAGUGGUAGGGAAGGAGCAUUGCCAGGCAAAAGCCUCAGAAAAAAGAAAAUAAAAACUCCA
RNAcentral lists this long non-coding RNA (493 nucleotides) under Homo sapiens (human). RNAcentral's name for it is "HSALNT0217730". Lineage: Eukaryota; Metazoa; Chordata; Mammalia; Primates; Hominidae. The record is from RNAcentral.